Lathyrus oleraceus (garden pea) is the source of this 2154-nucleotide long non-coding RNA. RefSeq lists it as uncharacterized. The transcript has 3 exons. The record is from RefSeq and is a predicted model, not a curated record. Lineage: Eukaryota; Viridiplantae; Streptophyta; Magnoliopsida; Fabales; Fabaceae.
CUAGCUUCCUUGCAAUCUACUUGCUAAACACAAAACACAAACCUUAUUCAUCAUUCAACAUGCAGACCUCACUGCUUCACGAGCUAGUUGUUGGAAUUCCAAUCAUACACAAACAAUUUCAAAAAUCGAAUAACAAAUACUUACUUGAUUAUGCUUCUCAUCCAUGUCAAUAUCCAUCCCAACAUCAAAGCAAAAGUAAAGGAAGUUGUAACCAGAAAAAGCGCAGCAGGAUAGUAAUUCUGAGAUUUCAGUGAGACUGGGGACAAACAUAUCUGAAACUAUAAAAAGGAAGUUGAGCUUAGGGACAAGAAUUCUUCAAAUGGGUGGAGUGGACAAAGUGUUCAUGAAGUAUUUUAGUGUGAUAAAGGGAGAGAGGCUGUUGAAAGUUUGCCACUGUUAUCUGUCGACCACAUCUGGCCCUCUAGCUGGUCUCCUCUUCAUCUCCACCGAAAAGGUUGCAUUUUACAGCGAGAGAUCAAUAAAAGUCUUUAAUAAGAAAGGACAAAUGUGUAGGAUGCGCUAUAAGUGAAGAAGAUAAAGAGUGUGAGGCAAAGUGAAGAUGUUGAGAAGCCAAGACAGAAGUACAUAAAUAUAACUACAGUUGACAAUUUUGAUUUCUGGCUAAUGGGCGUAUCAAAAUAUCAUAAGACUUACAAAUAUCUGGAACAGGCAACUUCUCAAACUUAGAUGAAUAUGAGAUAUAACUUACAAGAGAUUAUAUGGCAACUGUAAUUGAAGAUAUAACCAGUAUGUUUAAAAGCUAAAUUGAACCCUUAAUAUUCAUAAUGUUAUAUUCUUCUAUAAAUUUUUACAUGGAAAACAACUCCAUCAAGAAAAAAUAGUCCACAUAUACUCUUUAUACUUUUUGAAGUUGAAUGUCCUUGUAUUACUGAACAUUGUGUGUUUUUGUAGGAGUUGGCUAAGAGUCUUGUACUCAAUUCUUUGAAAAAUGAAAUUAAUAGUACUCAAUUUUGACACUAGAAGGGUGUAGAACUUUUGAUUUGAGCUACUAUUACAAUCGAUAAAAUAGUUAAUAUCGUUUGGUAUGUCCUAUGCCUCUUUAGUAUUUUUGUCAUGUUGGGUUUCAUUUGUUGGAGUUGGCUAGGAGCCUUGUACUCAAUAUUCUUCGAAAUUUGAAACUAAUAGUACUCAAUUUUGAUCCUAGGAGGAUGUAGAACUUUAAUUUAAGUUGCUACUAUAAUUGGUAAAAUAGUCAACAUUGUUUGGUAUUGGAUUUAUUUUUCUGGAGUUGGCUAGGAGCCCUGUACUCAAAGUUCUUCAAAAUUUGAAAUUAAUAAUACUCUAUUUUGACAACAGGUGACUGCAUAACUUUGAUUUGUGUUGCUCCUAUAAUUGGUUACUAAGAUGGUUAUGUUGGGAGAAUAUCAUGAUUUAUGAAUUUUUUUAUGAGUGCAGAUAUGAGAGAAGACUGGUCCACGUUUCUAAUCAUAAGUUAGCCUAUCUUUUUGUAGAAGAUUCUCUAUUUUUUUUUUUUUACAUUUUUCAACGUUUAGGCAACGGAUUUUAUGCGUUGCUUAUUAAAAACUGUAGUCUUUUCAUAUGUGAUAUUUAAAGUAACCCGUGGUUUUUUUAUAGUUGCAACAACGGUUAUAUUGUGUUGCUUAGUGAAAACCGCACUCUAAAAGUAGUCCUUAAACCGUAGCCUUUUGUAUUUAAGGCGACGAUGUUUAAAUUCCGUGGGUAGAGGUUAAAAAACCGUCCCUAAAAGAAUAGGCAACGGCCGUUUAUUCCACGACUGGAAAAUCGUUGCCUAAAGAUUUAGGCUACGGUUUUAGGAGUUCUAGCCGCACUUUACUACCGUUGGCUAAUAAUUGAAAGAAUUUGAUAAGAAUUUUGUGUACUGAAGUCUUUAAGAGAAGUUGUCUGGUCCACAUAAACACUCGGAAGUCUUGAAGAGAAGUUAUCUGGUUCACAUAAACACCCGGAAGUCUUACAAGUUUAACGGUCCAAUCCAUUUGUAAUACUCUUCAUUGAUCUCUAGCUACUCUCUCCUCUAGCCAAAAGCUACCAGGCCAGAGCAUGAUAUUGAUAAGUUGGUGUGUUGAGCCCACUUAGACCCAUGCCCCAUAUGAGAGUCCUAACAUAUAUCGCCAACCUUUUAUGCCUGGGGAUUUCCUUCCUACCUUUUUUAAA